Long non-coding RNA from Centrocercus urophasianus (Greater sage-grouse), 6750 nucleotides. RefSeq lists it as uncharacterized. NCBI's taxonomy places the organism in Eukaryota, Metazoa, Chordata, Aves, Galliformes, Phasianidae. The transcript has 3 exons. The record is from RefSeq and is a predicted model, not a curated record.
CACCCUUUGGCAGCAGGAAUGUUCCUUUUUCUUACUGCAUGUUCUCGAAUACUUUCAGAAGGUGUGUUCCUCUCAGAAUAGUGUGCUAGCAGGGCUGUAGCAAAACAAACAGAAAUGUUCUGAACUGAUGUUCUCAACGAGUCCUGGUGGUCACAAAUGUCUUAUCAACGCCAGAAUGCUCCGGCAGUUCUUGGAUUACCAAAGUGCUAUGCACCAUAAUAAAAACAAUUAAACAGCAGAUUAGCCGAGUCAAACAAGCGUGAAAGAAAAUGAAAGAUAUUUUAGCUGGAUCUCACUGCGGCCAUAGCUUCCUGUUUUAUACGCAACAGAAAGUCCGCAGCAGAGAAGGCAGAUUAGAUGAGUUUUCAGGAGGCAGAGUAACCUUUGGCCAGGCUCAGACAGGCCGCUCACGAGGGUUUCAGCGGCUUGGUUAACGAACUUUUCUGUGACGCCUCCCUGACUUCCUGCUCCUGACCACGGCGGGCUCGGUGAGCACAGCAGCAGGAAGCUCUGACCUCCUGAAGGCAGCUCGCUGCUGCCAGUCACGGCCCUGCUGUAGGAGUUACAAGGGAGUUGACGUGUGGCAUGAGGAGUGCAUGAAGGGGACGGCAGCCCCGAGUAGUGCGUUCACUUUCUGCUUUUCCAGGACUUGAAUAUCAUGAAAAUAGCACAGCUUUGAAUUUUGUUGGGAAAAACCACAAAGGAUACUCACUACAGAAUGUGAAAACAAAGAAAAUAGCCUUGACCAUGUGUGAGCAUAAUCCUCAUCCAGAGACCAUGCUGAUAAACAAUGUGAAACGAAGUAUUAUUAAGAAUUCAACAAGUUAGAUAGGAAAAAAAUAGAAGCCAAAGAAACUGCUUUUUCCCUCUGCACAAUAUUUAAACAUUUUAAGUGGUACCUUCUCAGUUAGAAAUCAUGAAUGAAAACAGCAAAAUCAAAGUUCUGGGAUAAUUGGUCAGAGAAAGAGCUGAACUUCGUUGCAAGGAGCUGGGAUAAACACACCUGCAUUUCUAAAUACCCCGGGAGCCUUUGUAAAGAUUUAUAAGAUAUGAAACAUAUGAACUUAAGUAAAUCAGUCAUUGAAUUUCAUUGCCUGUCUUAUGUUAAAAUGCUGCUCUUCAUGAAGAUUAACCAAGAUAAUCUUCCCUUCAUUGGCAAUGCCACCUUUUCGCCUGUACAGAAUCAUUCAUGUAAAAUGGCUGGUAUUAGUACAAUGCAUUUUUCUUGAGACUUCAAAUAAACCUAAAAUAUAUGAAGUACCUUAACAUAAUUAAAACAAAUGAAAAUACAGGGAAUUUUCUGUUAGAACUGUUAGAAGUCAGUGAGCUCCAUUGCUGCAAACUGGCAGAUCCUUUGGGUAUACGCAGGGCUUCAGCUCUUCACUGCCCCUUGUCCUGAAUUCCUUCAAGUUGCACAUAUGUGGACCAGCAGCUAUUUUUCUCUAUGGAGGAGAAAGAUGAUCAAGUGAUUAGAAAGAGGGACAGGAAUUUUGGAGGAUCCAUAUUUAACUGUUGGACAUUUCCAACAUUUUGCAGAGAAGGUCUAUGGGGUCUUUUUCAAGCAGACGAAAGAUCGUCCUGUUUGCAUUCCAAGCUGGAUGGCAAGGGGCCAGCUCUGAAGUGAAAGGUGGCAUGGAUUUGUACAAUGGCAGUGGCAGAGAGCCUUGAUCUUGAACCUUCCGUCUUUUUUUGUAAUGCAGCUAUAAAUAACAUUAAUUCAGAAACAAUUAAAUCAGCAAUCUUAUUCUUCAUAGAAACAGACGUUUGUGUUCUGUUUCUUGAUUGGGAAGAAUUUCAGAAUGUAGGGAAAAAAAAUGGGAUUUUUUUUAAGUGCAGCAAGAACUUGACAUCCUCUUUCCCCAAAAAGUGGCCUUACUAAGUACUGAAAUGAUGACACAAAGAAGUCCAGAAGCAUGCAUUUAGACCUCAGCUUCUUCUGUCAGGCCAUAUGCAUACAGAAAUAUAACAGUUGUUUGAAGGAGAAAAAUCCCUUCUUCAGCCUGUGUCUGUUACUUCAUCAUCAUAUCUGAAGAUGUGUAGUUCUUGCAUUAACAAUCUUUUCUUGAGGACUGUCUAGUUUUCUGCUUCUGCUAUACAGUCAAAACCCUUGACAGCUAAACAAAUUCCUUCAAUUUCAUUGUAAUAGUCUCAAGACAUUCUUUAUUAUGUAUUUCUUCUAUCUUACAAGCCUUUUUCUCUAACUUCCUCUAACUGCCACUUCUGUCUUUUCUUCAGUUGUUUUUCUGAUUUAAAUGGCUAGCAGUUCUUGUCUUUAUCCUACCGUGGCUUUCUAUUUGCCAGUUCCUUGGUGUUAUCUUUCUCUCCAACUUUGACUCCAUUCUUUUUCUAUUUCCCCAUCCCUCAGCCACAUAAUGCUAUGAAGUGUGAUUACAGUAAUCCUGAAAUUUGUUAUAAAUGAAUGUUAACAGUUUUUACUGCUAUGUCCUUUUGAUCCUUUCUGCUGUUUUCCCUUUUCAUUAAUCAUUUUAAUCCAUUCAUUCUUCCUUCCAUCUUUGGGCAGUUACCAAGACUGAUCAUACUGUUUGGUUGUAGUUUUUUUAUCUUACAUAGUGGGACAAAAAGCAAUUUUUACAGUGAGUUGAAGGGAAAAGUGUAGGUCUUCCUUUGGUCACCUAGCAGGAAGUCGGAGCUGGUUGGGGGAAUGAAGAAUGGAAAUGUUUUUUAACACAUGAAAAUGACUUAGAGGAUUGCAAGCUGGAAAAACUUUGCUUUCCCAGCCUGCCAAUAUUUUUUACUUGCAGGCAAAAAGUGAGAGAACUAGAAAUUCUUCAGGUACUGGUUAGUCUUACCAUUGUCCCACUUCAGGUUCCUCCUCUUGGUGCCUCUUCUUCCAGGAGUACUUUGCCAUAGCAAAGAACAGAAGUGGGGAAUUUCCCUUCUGUUUUUAUGGCAGAAGGAAAAGUGGUGACUUCCCCUUAUUUCAGCUGCUGUUUACUCAGAAAACAAAGUUGCCAUAUACUAAUAGUGACAUUUUGUACAUAGACAUUGAUCUGAAAAAUCCAGAGAGCACAGUAAAAGUUACAACUGAUAGUCAGGACUCUGACUUUCGUGGAUACUUUAUGCAGAACAUAAAUGCUUGAGAGAUUAAGAAGAGUAUUUUCUACUUACCGUGUUUCUAUCAGUAUUUGUGGUAAUAGUACAAUAGAUGCUUAGUUGAGAUGUCUGACCAGAUGUUUCAACCAUGAAGCUAUUUCCAGUAAAGACGUUUUGAAUAUGCAUAUGAAAGCAUCUAUAAAUACUGUGACUUAUUAGCAACUUUUAUAGCCAAAAAUAAAGCAAACUAGUAUGACUGUUAACUUAUGCUUCAGAAGUUGAAAGAUUAGGUAACAUUAAAGGCUGGAAUUAAUUUCUGUUGAGGCUUGUGCUGGUUAAUUCAGCACAGCCAAGCUUGCCAUCUCUGUGGGACAAAGUCUGGUGAUCAUUUUAUGCAUGUGAGCAAUCCAAAAGUAAUUAAUAGGAUUAAGGAACUGCAUGACAAGUUUUAAUAAGGAACACAGUCUCACUGACCCUGGUGAUGCAAUCAGCCUACCAGCCUCAAACAACAAGAAAAACUACAUGUUCCACCAUGUGUUAGUAACAUUUUAAAAAACUGUUUCAAAUGAUUUGUCCACUGUAGUUUUCUCAGAUGAUUGAAAUAAAAUCCAUUUCUGUUUGAGGGUAUGAUGAGUUUAAUGAACUCCUGUUCUGCCUUUUUUAGCAGGCAUAUGCUAAGUCCUGCAUGACUUUUUAUAAUUCAGAAACAUGUCUAGGUUGAAUUGGUUAAUGAGGAUUUUGACUGACAUUCAUUGCUAGAACUUCAUUCCUCUUUUAUACAUAUAUUUUCCCUUUUCUGUGGUAUUGUGUGUCUUAAAUUUUAUAACUAGUUACACUGUCACCAGCCCACAGUUAAGUGCUUAGUAGCAGCAGUGUGUAUGAGUUAACUUUGGUCCUCAAAGUAAAGUCAUAAUGCACUGCAGCAUGGGUAGACCCACCGUUUAGCCUCAUGGACAUGAUAAAGUGGGCAAAACUAUAGAAGGAGCUCAGGUGACAAAAAUCAAUUUAUUUUAUUUACCUACUCUCCUAUAAUGGAAGAGAUGUGAUUUCCCUCAAAGCCGUGAAAAAGUUUAAUAUGCAACUGUGAAGAGAAUUUGCAAAGCAUAUCAUCCUGAAAUCACAAAUUACAAGCUUUAUCUUUUUCUAUGUGAGAAUUUAAUGAAAGAUGUUGUCAGUACUGAUGCUUUGGUUAGUUUGCAAGAGUAGUUUAGGUUUUAACAAGGUAUGAAAUCCAUUGAAGUCAGCUUAAUUUGCAAGCUCCCACAGUAAUCGUUUCUUCUAAUUACAAGAAUAGAUGACUUAUGAAAUGCCUUAUGUUCCAGAAGUCAAAUGUUUCUGCAUAUGUCCAAUAGUUACCAACAGAUGUAAGGAGAGACAAAAUGAAACCCAAUCCUUCCCAGAAUUCUGGCUCUCAGCCCAUUUUGUAACUCUGUAACUUCUCCUUAGAGGGCAGAGUACAGCCGGAGGAGGUGGCAAACUGUGGUUGCAUGCUGCUUGUAAUGAUGCAAAAGAAGCAUCCCAAGAGCAAGUUUGUUGUUGUGGUCUCUCUGGUAAAACAUAUGUGCCUUCGUUUAAGUGCUCAUGAUGCAAAUCUUACUCACUGUGUCUGUCUGUUUUCAUAGAAGAAAAUAGAAUUUUUGCUCCAUGGAAGCUUUACCCAAAAUAACCUCAGAUAUUAUUGUUAUGAAAUAAGUUUCUCCAAGCUAGAAACAAAGAGAAAACUGUUUGUCUGUUAGUGCUUUGAAGAGUGGCAAAGAGGUGCAAUGAACUCUCAUUUCCACUAGAAAUAACUUCUCAACACAGUACCUCGAAAAUAGUGCCUAAGUCGAGGCUUAAUAUUUAGCUUGCAAACUAAGGCCUUAGGGGAACUGGAUUUCCAGAAAGACCUUUAUGUCUGCUCUUUAACUUUCCAUUAAAGCGUCUAGUUCAAUAUUUUAAAAGGCAGGGAACAUUGUUAUUCAGUUUUGAAAAAUCUUGACCUUUUUUAAACGUAUGAACAACGACUCUCGUUUUCAAAACAGUGUGACUUAAGGCUACAUUGCAGGCAGCUAACCCCACAGCAUGAUAGUCUUAAUAACAGGCAGUUCAGAGAAUAACAUUUGAAUGAUCUUGAUUUGGAAAAGCAUCCCUUCUGGAUUCAGUAGUCUGUAGGGGAACUGUUAAGCUCUUGUUAAUCCUCAGCUGUCAAAUUAAGUAGGCUGUUAGCCAAACUAAUUGGCAUGAUAGGUAGGACAGAGGGUAAACAUUCCUUAGGCUGCGAUUAAUAGGCUGAAAUGGUUGAUCUGCUGAUUAAAAAAAAAUAAUAAAAAAUAUACAUAUAUAAAAAUCACCAUACUUACUGCAAGUGUAGUGAACUCUCCAAAAUGAUAAAUAUAAUUAAUUUCAAGGACACAGUACUAACAAAUGCUUUCCAGUCAAUAAGUCAGUUGAUUUAGCUUAUGUUUGCCUACCUGCACUUUUGCUAUCUUAGAAACCCAUUAGUUCAUAUUCCCUCACAUGUCCAAGUCUCCUCUUAUGUGCGUACAGCACACCUGCACUUUACAGAUGUAUACAGUAAUGCAUUAUUUAUACCUAAACUUUGCUUUGGAUUAAUUAUGAAUUAGAUUCUGACUUUAAUAGGACUACUUAAACAUGUAUACUUAAUUAUAGGCAAGAAUAAUAAACGAGUAUAUGCAAGAUCAUGACCUGAACAGUGAAGUCAGGCAAUUUAAGAAAUUAUCACUGGAAUUGCAGAGAUACUUACAAUAAUGAAAAAACAAAUUCCAAGCAGAGAUGUCAGAAAAGCAACGUUCAGACAAGUUAAUUGCUAAUUAAAACUUCUCGUGUUUGGAAUAAAAAAAAAAUAUUUAGGAUAUUAGUAAAAACAUCCUAAUAGUAUUUGGUUUAUUUAAAUACUACUGGUUGUGUAAUUGCUGGCUUGGGACUUAAACAUGGUCUGUUUCUUGGCAGGUUUCUGCUGCCAUGCUAUUUGAGUUAGAAAAGUUCAAUGGGUAAUAUUAGCUUAGCUGUGGAACUCUGAUAUUUAAUAGGAUUUUAUGGAAAUAGCUAAUAUGUGCACAUGGCAGCAACUCCUCACAGUUCAAUAUUGUCACAAAAGUGUCUUUUGAUUCCAUUACAAUCCUUAUUUCAUUUAACAAGUAAACAAAUAAGGCUGCUGAGGCCAACACUGUAUAAUAGCAAGAAAGUUUCUUCACUCUCUGACAUUCAAAAGUUAUGGCAAAGAAAGUACAUGGUUUACAUUUGUAUUACAUGUAUUAUUAUGCUUUGGAACCUUGAGCUCGCAAGGAUAAGCAAGGUAUCAAUAAGCAAAGGCCAAUUUUGUGGCCACUUCUGAGACUUUGGUUUAUCAGAAAUUGUUCAUUUUCUGUAUGGCAGUAGUUCAAAACACAUUUGAAUAACCACAUUCAUAGAAUCACAGAAUGACCCAAGUUGGAAGGGACGCAUAAGGAUCAUGGAGUACCAUAUGGAGUACAUAGUACCACCCAAAAAUCAGACCAUAUGUCUGAGAGCAUUGUCCAGAAGCUUCUUGAACUCCAUCAGCUCGGUGCCAUGACCACUGCCCUGGGCAGCCAGUUCCAUGCCCACUGCUCUCUGGUGAACAACCUUUUCCCAACACCCAACCUGCCCCUCCCCUGACACAGCCCCACGCUGUUCCCUCAGGCCCUGUCGCUGUCAGAAUGCAGGGCUCAGCGCUGC